Long non-coding RNA from Choloepus didactylus (southern two-toed sloth), 1799 nucleotides. RefSeq lists it as uncharacterized. Lineage: Eukaryota; Metazoa; Chordata; Mammalia; Pilosa; Megalonychidae. The transcript is spliced from 3 exons. The record is from RefSeq and is a predicted model, not a curated record.
GCUGUGGCAAUUACUUCCCGGUGGAGCCCAGUGCUCCGAAGUCCGCCCGCCCACCGACAGGCGGGCUGGGCGCCCCGGGUUCGCGCGUGGGGUUGGCCACCCUCUGCCUCUGGUGGAGGAGGGCGCUCCGACUUCAGCUACGGCGGAAGAACUGGUUGCUGACUCCAGACUUGCAGCCUUUAUUGAUCGCUCCCCGAAUACCGCGCACUGAACCGGCGCCGUGGGGUCUCCGAGGAUCCGCGGCUGCUGGUUUGCGCCCCGCAUCGCCCAAACUGGGACAUCCAUGGAAUCCCUGUACCUGAAAUCCCUUUACCUCCCUCAUCUGCCACCUUUUGGACCGUCACUCGAGCUUUCUCGAGUCCCCGGGCACUUGGCUGUUCUGCCCUGACGUUCCCACGGCACUUUGAGGGAUCCAUGGAGAGCCCUUACCGUGUUCCUCUGGAUAUUGCUCUGUUUUUUGAGCCUUUCCUCCCGAGCCCAGCUGACAGCACAUCCCGGUCCAGAAGGCGCAUCUUUGCCCAGCGACUCAGUAUGCGUCCCUGCUGCCUCUCACCCGGCCUCGUUCGGAGGGUGGAGGGUGCCUUGAAAAGGCAGGGAGGGCCUCCCUAGCUUUCCUCCCUACCGAUAUCUACUCUCCUCUCCUCGCAGCCACUUACUCAAGAAGAGUAAAGGAACUUUUAUAACUUGCCCAAAGCCUCACAGCUGGGAAAGAGCCUCAGCUAAAACUCACGUGUUUGGUCCGCAUGCGCAGGAUGUAAGGCUUGACCUUAACUAGACUCCCUUGCAGAUGGAGCCUUUGGCAAGGAAGUGUCUUGAUGGACAGAUUAGGAGUUGGGGACUAGGAGGAAAGUCACGUGGGUACCAGUCCUCGGGUUAUGAGCUGCGCAGGAUCUCCCAGAAUCUCAGAUCCCCGCAUUUAGAGGGAGAAAAGUAAUGGAGCAGGCCCUACGCAGAUCCACAGAAAGUAAUGAGAGGAGUUGGCUCUAACUUAAAACAACAGCAUGAACAGAAUCCGACCAACGCAGCAACCUGCUUGGCGACGGUCUGUGACUCUUCAGAAGCCGAGGGUCUCACCAGGACUUUCUAGCUGGCUUUGCCAGUCUCUUCACUUACCCAGUCCUCGCCCGAUGAGACCGGUUCCGGAGCCUGGGGACUAGCCUGGCAGCUUCCAGGGAAAGAGACCCGGUGAAAUCUACCUUGUAAAUUUACAUUUGUUUGAGCCAUAAGGAACUCAGAGGUCUCCUCGCCUUUUAGGGAAACUGGAACUCAGCCCCAUCCCUCUCUCCUGGAAAGGCAGCAUGCCACUGAUUAGCGCUGGGACUUCUAAAUGAUCAACCAUGUCAGAUAACCUAUCAAUUCCAUUCUCCCCAAGAGCCCUUCUCAUGUGAAACUACUCCAAUCUUGGUCCCUCCCUCUAGGCUACUGCUAUACCACCAUCAUCCUGAGACUCCCCUUUGUCAUUCUCCUUGGCUGGAUGUCUGACUUUCUGGAACCCAUAUCCUCUUUCUUGGUUUUCUCCCUUGUUUUGGUGGAGUACAUACUCUGGUAGCUUCCUGACUCCAGAAUCCUUGCUUGUAACCUGAUACUGACCUUCUUUGAGCUGCCCAACCUAAAAUUGGUCAUCCUUUUUAACAGUAAUCCUUUCAUUGUCCCCUCAUUCAACCUUCAAUUUGAUUACCUCCUGCUUCCUCAAUUUUCCCUCUUCAAAACAUUUUCAAUCUUCCUUUCCAUUGGAUCAUUCUUCUUAAGCUAAAAACACGGUCAAAUUUCUCCCAAAUUAAACAAAAACUACUCUUUGA